RNAcentral lists this long non-coding RNA (1074 nucleotides) under Zea mays. Its description in RNAcentral is "drought responsive lncRNA". The record is from RNAcentral. Lineage: Eukaryota; Viridiplantae; Streptophyta; Magnoliopsida; Poales; Poaceae.
GUCCUACUUCAUCAAAGUCUCUAUCGUGUAGAGCACUCUCUCUAAUGAAGUUAUGCAAUGUCAUACAAGCAAUAAUUAUCUUGGAUUGUUUGGUAAGCGAAAAAGAAGGGAGACUAAAUAGAACUCUCCACUUCAUUUUAAGCACCCCAAACGAUCGCUCUAUAACAUUGCGUAGCGAAGAGUGUGCAUAGUUGAAUACUUCUUUGCUACCAAUAGGUUGCCUCGCAUUUUGCCAUUCAGAAAUGUGGUACUUCUGACCCUUAUAAGGUGCAAGGUAGCUCUUUCUAUUUGGAUAACCUGAAUCGACAAGAUAGUAUUUACCUGCAGAAACAUGAAAUACAUAAGUUCAAUACGUAAGCCAGUAAUUAAUAGCAUAUGUCAUAAAAACAAGAUAUAUAAUUGUAUACCUUCUGGUGGCUGGGGGAACCUGUCCGCAUAAGUUAUCAAAGUAUCUUGUACUACUCUAGUGUCAUGUACGGAUCUAGGCCAUCCUGUGACAACAAAUGUGAACCUCAUAUCGAAGUCACAAACGGCCAUUACAUUCUGCGAUGUGUAACCGUGCCGUCCAAUAUAUUUGGCUUGCUCUGAGGCCGGGACUGCCGCUGGAAAGUGACUACCAUCAAUUGCUCUUAUGCAGUCCUUGAAGUGUGGCCAAAAUCUCGCCUCUCGCAAACGCGGAUGAAUCUCGGUGAAAUAUGGGUCUUUGGGCUUAAUGAUGUCAGAUGACAUCUUAAACAGUGCAUCAAGGACUUCACUAUACUUGCGACUAAUUGUUUCCAAGGAGUGACCAAACUUAUUUUGUAUUUGCCUAAAGGACUGUGGACCCCCACAUGCCCACAAGAAAAUGCCAAGUGCUUCCAUAGUACUGACACCCCGGCUUGGAAUCAGACCAUAAUUGUCCACCAAUGUGUCAUGCAAUCGUCUAAACACAGUUCGUCGCAUGUGAAACAUAUCGAAGCAGUCGUUACUAUUCUCCAACGUUCUCUCCACCCAUUGAAUACCAGUUUCAACCAAUGUUCUUCUAGGAACCUGACUGAUAUUCCUGCCCCAAACAUCUACAGCACAUAUAGCAAC